This 497-nucleotide ribosomal RNA is filed under the name uncultured bacterium. Its description in RNAcentral is "partial 16S ribosomal RNA". It matches the Rfam family "Bacterial small subunit ribosomal RNA", at positions 28 to 507 of the family's 1533-position model. The record is from RNAcentral.
GAUGAACGCUGGCGGCGUGCCUAAUACAUGCAAGUCGAGCGAACGGACGAGACGCUUGCUUCUCUGAUGUUAGCGGCGGACGGGUGAGUAACACGUGGAUAACCUACCUAUAAGACUGGGAUAACUUCGGGAAACCGGAGCUAAUACCGGAUAAUAUUUUGAACCGCAUGGUUCAAAAGUGAAAGACGGUCUUGCUGUCACUUAUAGAUGGAUCCGCGCUGCAUUAGCUAGUUGGUAAGGUAACGGCUUACCAAGGCAACGAUGCAUAGCCGACCUGAGAGGGGGAUCGGCCACACUGGAACUGAGACGCGGACCAGACUCCUGCGGGAGGCAGCAGUAGGGAAUCGUCCGCAGUGGGCGAAAGCCUUACGGAGCAACGCCGCGUGAGUGAUGAAGGUCUUCGGAGCGUAAAGCUCUGUUAUUAGGGAAGAACAUAUGUGUAAGGAACUGUGCACAUCUUGACGGUACCUAAUCAGAAAGCCACGGCUAACUACGUG